This 795-nucleotide ribosomal RNA is filed under the name uncultured bacterium. Its description in RNAcentral is "bacterial SSU rRNA". It matches the Rfam family "Bacterial small subunit ribosomal RNA", at positions 8 to 794 of the family's 1533-position model. The record is from RNAcentral.
AGAGUUUGAUCCUGGCUCAGGAUGAACGCUAGCGACAGGCUUAACACAUGCAAGUCGAGGGGCAGCGAGGCGGUGCUUGCACCGCUGUCGGCGACCGGCGCACUGGUGAGUAACACGUAUGCGACCUGCCCCCUACAGGGGAAUAACCCGUAGAAAUGCGGCCUAAUUCCCCAUAGUCCCAAAGGCUGCAUGGCCUUUGGGGGAAAGGUUCACUCCGGUAGGGGAUGGGCAUGCGGCGCAUUAGCUAGUUGGCGGGGUAACGGCCCACCAAGGCGACGAUGCGUAGGGGUUCUGAGAGGAAGGUCCCCCACACUGGUACUGAGACACGGACCAGACUCCUACGGGAGGCAGCAGUGAGGAAUAUUGGUCAAUGGGCGAGAGCCUGAACCAGCCAAGUCGCGUGAGGGAAGACGGUCCUACGGAUUGUAAACCUCUUUUGUCGGGGAGUAAUAGGCGGGACGUGUCCUGCUGUGAGAGUACCCGAAGAAAAAGCAUCGGCUAACUCCGUGCCAGCAGCCGCGGUAAUACGGAGGAUGCGAGCGUUAUCCGGAUUUAUUGGGUUUAAAGGGUGCGCAGGCGGCGUGCCAAGUCAGCGGUCAAAGUUCCGGGCUCAACCCGGUGAUGCCGUUGAAACUGGUGUGCUUGAGUGCGUGCGAGGGAGGCGGAAUGCGUUGUGUAGCGGUGAAAUGCAUAGAUAUGACGCAGAACUCCGAUUGCGAAGGCAGCUUUCCAGCACGCCACUGACGCUGAGGCACGAAAGCGUGGGGAUCGAACAGGAUUAGAUACCCUGGUAGU